UCUGGCGACCGGCGCACGGGUGAGUAACACGUAUCCAACCUGCCGAUAACUCGGGGAUAGCCUUUCGAAAGAAAGAUUAAUACCCGAUGGCAUAAUUAGACCGCAUGGUUUGAUUAUUAAAGAAUUUCGGUUAUCGAUGGGGAUGCGUUCCAUUAGGCAGUUGGUGAGGUAACGGCUCACCAAACCUUCGAUGGAUAGGGGUUCUGAGAGGAAGGUCCCCCACAUUAGAACUGAGACACGGUCCAA
Molecule: ribosomal RNA, 246 nt
Filed under: uncultured bacterium
Lineage: Bacteria
Description: partial 16S ribosomal RNA
Rfam family: Bacterial small subunit ribosomal RNA
Source: RNAcentral